Molecule: non-coding RNA, 258 nt
Organism: Vicia faba (fava bean)
Lineage: Eukaryota; Viridiplantae; Streptophyta; Magnoliopsida; Fabales; Fabaceae
Source: the annotation of a GenBank genome assembly
AUGAGAAUGAAGAGAUAUUUUUGUCUGGUUUUGCGAUUCUUCUAUGAUGAAGGUGAAAAUGAAGAUUUAAAGAGAGGGAGAGAGUUUUCUUUUUUGAGAUUUUGUGGUGUAUUGCUCUUAGUGAUUGAAGAAUCCCCCAAAUCCAGGUGCAUAUGGAACCUGAUACAUGUGAGGCAAUUAUUUGAAGAAUGUAGCAGGUUGGUUCUUUUAGGGCAUAAUGGAGAGAAUGAUUUAGAAGAUUCGGACACGUUGGUGUAA